UACGUAGGAUACGAGCGUUAUCCGGAUUUACUGGGUGUAAAGGGAGCGUAGACGGCUGGCCAAGUCUGAAGUGAAAGCCCGGGGCUUAACCCCGGAACGGCUUUGGAAACUGGCCGGCUGGAGUGCUGGAGAGGCAGGCGGAAUUCCUGGUGUAGCGGUGAAAUGCGUAGAUAUCAGGAGGAACACCAGUGGCGAAGGCGGCUUACUGGACUGUAACUGACGUUGAGGCUCGAAAGCGUGGGGAGCAAACAGG
RNAcentral lists this ribosomal RNA (253 nucleotides) under uncultured Lachnospiraceae bacterium. RNAcentral describes it as "partial 16S ribosomal RNA". It matches the Rfam family "Bacterial small subunit ribosomal RNA", at positions 524 to 776 of the family's 1533-position model. The record is from RNAcentral. Lineage: Bacteria; Bacillati; Bacillota; Clostridia; Lachnospirales; Lachnospiraceae.